AGCCUCUGGCUAUAGGAAAUUGUUAGUGGCAGACGGGUGAGUAUGCGUAGGAAUCUACCUAGUAGUACGGAAUAGCCAUUAGAAAUGGUGGGUAAUACUGUAUAAUCCCCGAGGGGGAAAGAUUUAUCGCUAUUAGAUGAGCCUACGUUAGAUUAGCUAGUUGGUGAGGUAAUGGCUUACCAAGGCUAUGAUCUAUAGCUGGUCUGAGAGGACGAUCAGCCACACUGGAACUGAGAUACGGUCCAGACUCCUACGGGAGGCAGCAGUGGGGAAUAUUGGACAAUGGGCGAAAGCCUGAUCCAGCUAUGCCGCGUGAGUGAAGAAGGCCUUCGGGUUGUAAAACUCUUUCAAUAGGGAAGAUAAUGA
RNAcentral lists this ribosomal RNA (366 nucleotides) under Ehrlichia sp. Its description in RNAcentral is "bacterial SSU rRNA". It matches the Rfam family "Bacterial small subunit ribosomal RNA", at positions 75 to 454 of the family's 1533-position model. Lineage: Bacteria; Pseudomonadati; Pseudomonadota; Alphaproteobacteria; Rickettsiales; Anaplasmataceae. The record is from RNAcentral.